RNAcentral lists this long non-coding RNA (561 nucleotides) under Zonotrichia albicollis (white-throated sparrow). RNAcentral's name for it is "lncRNA (ENSZALG00000011547.1)". Lineage: Eukaryota; Metazoa; Chordata; Aves; Passeriformes; Passerellidae. The record is from RNAcentral.
CUAGAAGGUUGCAAGGGAGGCAGGAGCUGUAGACACUGCUCCAGAAAUAAACAAACUAUGUUUAUUCCAGCUUCCAACUGCCUCCUUCAUAAAAUCCCUUCUUGCUGGACUCUUCAGGAUCAUCAGCAGAAUUUGUCACCUUUUUGUUGUCUUGAAUUUGUUUGCCAUAGUAAGUGAAUUCUGCAUCAUCAGGCCAAAGACAGGGGAAAACAACAAACUCCACUUAAGAAAGCUGAGAAGAGGGAAGAGCAAUAAGGCCUGUCCUCUCUGUCACCUAGUUAUGCCUCCUGAAGCCUCUUUUUCCCACCAAUGGGUCGGCUAUUCUUUGCUACAGAAGCUUGUUCACUGAGACCAUUCUCUGCGUUCUCGCAGGAUUUUGUGGAGAACAGGAAGAAACACAAAGUCUUGUGUUUGUGGUAUAGCAAAGAAGAGAACUCUGAAGAGCGGCUUUUUAGCUUUUGUUAUGGUUUACCAGUUUUCCAUCACAAGCUGCAAGGAGCAAUACCUGGCCCAGGAGGCCAGAAGAGAGACAAUACCUCAGCAGAUGAGGCUGGAUCUUGA